AUGCCGUUGGACUUCACGAGGCACUCCCCGUACGUGUCGCAGGAGUUCAAGAUGAAGACGAACACCGGCUGCUUCCGGAGGGUCACAAUCCGACUGUUGAACGACAGGGUCACCCUCGAACAGGGUUGGGCCACCUUUGCCGCCAUCCAUCAGAUGAAGAUAGGCUUCAUGGUGACCUUCAAGCUGCUGACUCCCGACAUGCUGAAGGUCAUCGUCUUCAAUGACAAUGUCAUUGAAGUGGUGAUCAGGUGCGGGAGGCCUUCGCCGUGA
This 270-nucleotide ribosomal RNA is filed under the name Triticum aestivum (bread wheat). RNAcentral's name for it is "partial small subunit ribosomal RNA". Lineage: Eukaryota; Viridiplantae; Streptophyta; Magnoliopsida; Poales; Poaceae. The record is from RNAcentral.